RNAcentral lists this long non-coding RNA (1230 nucleotides) under Homo sapiens (human). RNAcentral describes it as "non-protein coding lnc-LPIN1-2:1". The record is from RNAcentral. Lineage: Eukaryota; Metazoa; Chordata; Mammalia; Primates; Hominidae.
GAGAAUCUCUUGAACCUGGGAGGUGGAAGCUGCAGUGAGCCAAGAUCACACCACUGCACUCCAGCCUGGGCGACAGAGACUCCAUCUCAAAAAAAAAAAAAAAAGUGUUUAAUGAACUUACAGUUCCACUUGGCUGGGGUGGCUUCAGAAUCAUGGCGGAAGGCAAGGAGGAGCAAGUCACAUCUUACAUGGAUGGCAGCAGGCAGAGAGAGCUUGUGCAGCAAAACUCCCAUUUUUAAACCUAUCAGAUCUCAUGAGACUUAUUCACUAUCAUGAGAACAGCAUGGGAAAGACCUGCCCCUAUGGAACUGGGUUCCUUCCAUGACACGUGAGAAUUGUGGGAGUUACAAUUCAAGAUGAGAUCUGGGUGGGGACACAGCCCAACCAUAUCAGAGGCCUUGGAAGGAACCAACCCUGCCAACACCUUGAUGUUGGAUGUGAACUGUGAGGACGUAAAUAAAUCUCUGUUGUUUUAGGCCACCUAGCUUGUGAUAUUUGUUACAGGAGCCCUAGCAAACUAGCACACUAGGCUAGACAAUGCUGCCGGGGACUGACAUCUGCUCAUGUGCACUUAUGCCUUUGACUGUGGGCUGAAAUGAGCCAGUGCCCCAGGUCUGCUGGCCAACAUUGGUUCACAAGCCACCUCCUCCAGGAAGCCUUCCUUUAUCCAUCCAGGAAGAAUAUGGGGUCUCUUUCUCUGACUCUUGAACCCUUGUGCAGAUUUCCAUGAGGGCAUCUUGCAUCUGCCACUGCUUUUAUAAAUGGCUCUGACUCAGGUACUAUUCAGCAGCUCCUCAAAGGGGACCAGAAGCAUGUCUCUCCCAUGGGUGUACUCUCUGAGUGCUGCACAGAGCCACCUGCACUUCUUGGCCCUUUUGCCUGCUGUACUACAGCUUCCCCAUGGGGCUUAUUGUCUUCCUGAGUUGCUUAGGAUUUACUUCCUGGUUUUACCUGUCUUCUCCCACUGGCAUGUGAGCCAUGUGUGGCUGAGACAUUUGGUCCAUUUUGUCCCUGCUGCAGCUCCAGUGCCUAGGACAGGGCCUGGGACCUGGUAGUCACUCUAUGCAUUUUUGUUAAUGAAUAAAUAAAUGGGAAAUAAAGGUGCAAAUAUCUCUGCUGCUGAUGGGGAUUCUGCUCUCCCAGAGGGAAGGUCUUGCUGUUUGGAUGUGCCAGUUAUUCUCUCUAUAAGAUCCACACUCAGCAUUUUUCCUUGCCUCUAUGUUCCCCAAA